AUAAAUAUAAUAAAAUAGAUUUUAAUAUUUUAUUUACAAUUAAUUUAGUCAAUGAUACAGUACAAUUAUUUCAAAUAUAACAAAUUAUCAUUUUUAUUUCAUAACCUUUACAAUAAAUAACAAAACCAAAAAGAGGAUCACAACUUGGGAAACAUGUUCACAACACUGACAUGGAACAAAAAGUUUCCAUAGUGCCUGUAGACUUCUUCAAAAAGUUGUUUGUUGUUUUUCUUAUAAUCUAAAAGUUAUUUUUCAUUAGUCUAAAAUAUGUUUUUCUAUAAUUGUAAUUUAUUUUUUUAAAUCCCAACUAUUAACUAGAAUUUCUCUUCAUGAGUGAAUAUAAAGAAGGAAACAUAUGGAAUAAAAAAGUGGAAAGGUAUUUUGAAAACUGGACAAGGUGUGCAUAUUUUUGGGAAAAAAUAAUAACUAAAUGGCCACAGUGAAAACUAUGGUUUUACUGUUAUGAUUUUUCAAUAUAUAAUUAUCUUAAAAUUAACUUUGGCAGACUUUAAAUAGAGCUUCAAUGCAAAUGACUGCCUGGUUGUGCAGUAUGCUCUCUGGACUUUUAUUAGGUCAAAUGUUAAUGGAUUUGAAAUCUGUCAGCAGCCAUUCCCAUUGUCCUUUGGGAAUUUUUUGCUAGGAUUUAAUUAUCUUCAGAAUCUGAAGGAACAUCCGAAAAAUUUAAAAAAUAUUACACAACAAACAUUUACUGGACUAGAUUCAAAUGUUUCUUCUUAUUCAGUUAUAAAGUUUAAUUAAAAAUACAAGUACAUGAACAUUUCACUACCGUCACAGUAAGUUUAAGAUAAAGAAAUAUUUGAAAUAUAAAAAUGAUUGAUGAUUGUAUGAAGCUCACAGGAAAGACUUGUUUACAAUUUUGAAGCAUUACAAGAAAUAAAAAAAAGAAA
Non-coding RNA from Biomphalaria pfeifferi, 908 nucleotides. The record is from the annotation of a GenBank genome assembly. NCBI's taxonomy places the organism in Eukaryota, Metazoa, Mollusca, Gastropoda, Planorbidae.